Molecule: long non-coding RNA, 608 nt
Organism: Sipha flava (yellow sugarcane aphid)
Lineage: Eukaryota; Metazoa; Arthropoda; Insecta; Hemiptera; Aphididae
Exons: 2
Source: RefSeq, a predicted model, not a curated record
GAUACAUAAAUAACAUUUUCAAAAAUGUUAACAGUAAACCCAGUUGAUGGUUAGUAUUUAUGGUUUUUUACUUAAAAAUACAAAUACAUACGAACCUACGGAGAGCAUGUUGCACACGUGGAAAAUCAUAAAUAUGUUUUAAGACCUACACCGAGGUGAGUAUAUGGUAAAAAUAUAAAAUGUGUACUGAAUUGUUGGACACCAUACUAAGAGUGCAAGGUUUAGUGCGUAUACCAACGGAACGAAAAUUUCACAUGUGUGAUACACGUGUGUAUAAUUAUGUAUCUCGACUUCCGAAUAGUGUUAUAUAAUUCUCAUCUAGUAGUUGAGUAUUCACACUAAGUCGAUGAACACGUUCACGAUACAUAAUUUUACAAAUGUUAUUAGUUCACGAGAGUAAUAACACUAAUUUUUUUCAUUAUUCGUUUAAUUUUCAUACUCCUUGAUACGAGGCUAAAACGAAAUUAUUAUUAAACUACAUUAGUUUCAAAGUCCACUGCUGCUUCUAAAGUCGAUACCGAUGAUGAUAUUUCGUUAAAUCACGCGUAACCGUUAAAAGGAUGUAGUUGAGCAUAUCAAAAAAAAAAAAAAAAAAAAAAUAAGCGGGG